This 466-nucleotide long non-coding RNA is filed under the name Mytilus galloprovincialis (Mediterranean mussel). The record is from RNAcentral. Lineage: Eukaryota; Metazoa; Mollusca; Bivalvia; Mytilida; Mytilidae.
AAGGUUAACCAGAUGCUCCGCAGGGCGUAGCUUUAUACGACCGCAGAGGUUGAACCCUGAACGGUUAGGGCGAGUAUGGACACAACAUUCAAGCUGGAUUCAGCUCUAAAUUUGGAUUGUGAUUAAAUAGUUGACACAGCAUAGGUUUCUGACACAGAAUGAAUGUGUUCUAAUGAACUUAAAAUUUUUGUUUCUCUUAGAGCAAUUCACUAUGCUGUUGAAUAUUAAUCCUCUCAAAAAAAUGUUUGAAGAAAUUUUCUUUUUUAUUUAUGAAAUUUCAAAUGAGAAAAAUUGAACCCAAUUUUUUUAAUCACAUCCCCCUUUCCCUUAUUCCAAAACUAAUCUCAAUUAAAAUUUCUAAUGGAGUUUGCAACAAUAACUACUCAUUUAAAUACAUCAUAAAAUAUUAAGAUGUAAAAAAAAACUGCUUGUUAUCACUGAAUGGUAAAGAUUAUUUUAAUUUAUC